Long non-coding RNA from Sinocyclocheilus rhinocerous, 389 nucleotides. RefSeq lists it as uncharacterized. NCBI's taxonomy places the organism in Eukaryota, Metazoa, Chordata, Actinopteri, Cypriniformes, Cyprinidae. The record is from RefSeq and is a predicted model, not a curated record. The transcript has 2 exons.
GAUCUCAGAUGCCCGAGGGCUUCAGCGAAGUGCUUAAACAAUGCAAAUUCUCCAGUGGACUGUCAUGAGGUUUGGAUUGGAAACACGACUAUUCCAUAGCCAUUCACUGUCUGCUUGCUUCUGGAUAAAAAAGUUUCCUCUUAAAAUGCAUCUCAAUCAGAUAUUGGGGCCUAUGUGAAAAAUAAAAUCAGUGACUUGGACGAAAUGCUGUGUAACAUAUGUGAUGCAUAGUAUUUCUAUAUUUGGUGUAGAUAACUGCAGCUUUCUGAUUUGGUGUUUUUUUUUGUUUAGUUUUUUUUUUUUGCUUGAGUUACUGUAGAAGAGAUCACAAUGUGUAUUUCUCUGCAGGAUAAUUUAAAUGUUUUACUCAAAUUAUGUGAUCUUGAAUU